UGAUAGCGUUGAAGCGUGAGGUUGCUGCUGAGGAUUAGCAGGUUUUCCGUGGAGCGAAUGUCAAGUUAGGAAACUGGCGACAA
This 83-nucleotide non-coding RNA is filed under the name uncultured Dorea sp. RNAcentral describes it as "S10-Clostridia ribosomal protein leader". It matches the Rfam family "S10-Clostridia ribosomal protein leader". The record is from RNAcentral. Lineage: Bacteria; Bacillati; Bacillota; Clostridia; Lachnospirales; Lachnospiraceae.